Sus scrofa (pig) is the source of this 1922-nucleotide non-coding RNA. The record is from RefSeq and is a predicted model, not a curated record. Lineage: Eukaryota; Metazoa; Chordata; Mammalia; Artiodactyla; Suidae.
UUUUUAUUUUCCUGCCCUCAGAGCCCUGGUCUGCCGAGAAGGUUCAGUCGCAGCAGCUCGACCAGCGGGCUGGAAACCUCACAUCCCCGAGCAGGGCUCGCAGCUCGCUCAGCUUGGAACAGGAUUUUUUUUUUUUCCCCCUCCCUCCAGCUGAAACCUCGCAGAAAACUCCCCCUGCGGUCGACUGGAAAAUGAGCUCACCCAAAUCUCGGUAGGCAGCCGGGGAGGAGGGCUCGGCCAAUCAGGAGGCGCUCCCGCCAAGGCGGCCGCGCAUUGGCUGCGGGGAAAAUCAAUUAUCAAAUAAUCGAUCAGCAGGGAGCUUCGAUCUGCCGGGAAUGCAAACUGCCAGUCCUGAUUCCCGCCCUGAUGGUGGCCAAAAGGCUGACUCCCCCAAAGUAGAGGGCCCCUCACUCCCGGCACCCCUACCCUCAUUACACUCCACCAGUUGCCGACCCACCUUCACCCCAAAGGUGGGGGGUAGGGAGGGGGGUUAGGUAAGGGGAAGAGUUUUGAGAAAGAUUGGGUGCUCCUAUCCGCGAAGGUUGUUUAGAAAAGAAUAGGAGCCCUAAAAUGUACUGAAGUCAACUCUUAAUGCGCAAACCAAAAGAUAAUUUGCAUCGGUCCGACAAAUAGGGCUUAAGGUUCUGUUAAGUGAGCUUUUGAGAAACUGGGGACACAGAGCGAGCAUCAGAACUUAGAUCUGGAAUCAGGUUCCACCAAGCGCACGUACUUCCUUAAGUGACAAGUAUUGCUUCUUUUAAUACUUCGCGGGAGUCAACGCCCACCUCCCCCUAAUAGUGGGGUUUUCAAAAAGCCCAGUAUCUGAGCCUUGCCAGCCUUCAGCCCCGACACUGUACUCGUCUCAUGUGUGCCCAAAGGCACACGUACACCCCAAACCUUCAGAUGCUUUUUGCCUUAAAAGAGCUCCGACUGUUUAAAAAACUCAUCCUAGAAUCCCUCAUCAUUUGCAUGUCUUCUCUCUUCCUUUCUCCCCCACUCCCCAAGUUUUCAGAUCUCUUCCUUUUCUCCAUCGCAUCCAAGUGUUGUUUUCGGGGACAAACGCCCGGAUACAUCACUCGGGAGGUUAAGGCAGGCCCGCGUGUUAAAGCCGAGGAGAUCCAGGUGAAUUACCAACUUUAUGCCUGACCUCCCCCUCCCCCCGCCGCCCCUUCCUUCCCCAACAUGAACUUGGAAACAACUCAGGCCAAGAUGGAACCUCCUUGUCUCAGAAAAGCGAUUUCUCUGUUUAAUUCUCGGGAAACUGAGCUGACUGGGCCAGGCAACGCAAUCCUUUUCCGAUUACAGAAAGGAUCAAACUGGGCCGACCGCCUGCAAGCUCUUCCCGGAACUACAGCCAGCUGCGGCCAACACCUGAGUGCCUUCCGACGGCUGCUUUCUGGGGUUUGAGCUCCAUCUCUCCAGCAGGGCCACCAGGCAUCGGCGCGGCUGGAGGUAGUGGGGGCGGGGGCGCCGUCAAGCCAAGCAUCGACAGGGGCGCAGCUACAUUUAUGAUCCUAAAAUGAACUGCAAAGGAAAUUGUGAAGAGUAACAGCAGAAGCCAGAUCCUCCUGACCCCCACUCUCAGCUGGUAGCAAGACAUACCUGACAGUGCUAAACUCUGACUGCAGGGAAGCUGAUGGGGCGGUGUGAUCCAUUAAGGGAAGAAAAACCCCAAAGGCCCUUCUAGAGUGUCAUUUCCAUGGAAUCUACAUGAAGCUAAACAUAUGUCACACUGAUAUUUCCAGCUCUAAUCCAUUACCACAUAGACCAUUCUGGCCUCCUCCUUUGUUCAUCUGUAAACUCCUACUCCAACAACGAUUCCACAUAAAAAGCGAUGUCAUAUAGGAGUUCUCGUCGCGGCUCAGGGGAAACAAAUCUGACCAGCAUCCAGGUUCCAUCCCUGGCCUCAUCCAGCGGUUAAG